RNAcentral lists this ribosomal RNA (433 nucleotides) under uncultured bacterium. RNAcentral describes it as "partial 16S ribosomal RNA". It matches the Rfam family "Bacterial small subunit ribosomal RNA", at positions 29 to 507 of the family's 1533-position model. The record is from RNAcentral.
AGCGAACGCUGGCGGCAGGCUUAACACAUGCAAGUCGAGCGGGCACUUCGGUGUCAGCGGCAGACGGGUGAGUAACACGUGGGAACGUACCCUUUGGUUCGGAAUAACGCUGGGAAACUAGCGCUAAUACCGGAUACGCCCUUUUGGGGAAAGGCUUGCUGCCGAAGGAUCGGCCCGCGUCUGAUUAGCUAGUUGGUGGGGUAAUGGCCUACCAAGGCGACGAUCAGUAGCUGGUCUGAGAGGAUGAUCAGCCACACUGGGACUGAGACACGGCCCAAACUCCUACGGGAGGCAGCAGUGGGGAAUAUUGGACAAUGGGCGCAAGCCUGAUCCAGCCAUGCCGCGUGAGUGAUGAAGGCCUUAGGGUUGUAAAGCUCUUUUGUCCGGGACGAUAAUGACGGUGCCGGAAGAAUAAGCCCCGGCUAACUUCGUG